RNAcentral lists this ribosomal RNA (1031 nucleotides) under Corollospora maritima. RNAcentral's name for it is "SSU rRNA". It matches the Rfam family "Eukaryotic small subunit ribosomal RNA", at positions 72 to 1114 of the family's 1831-position model. Lineage: Eukaryota; Fungi; Ascomycota; Sordariomycetes; Microascales; Halosphaeriaceae. The record is from RNAcentral.
AAUUAUACUGCGAAACUGCGAAUGGCUCAUUAUAUAAGUUAUCGUUUAUUUGAUAGCACGUUCUUACUUGGAUAACCGUGGUAAUUCUAGAGCUAAUACAUGCUGAAAAUCCCGACUUCGGAAGGGAUGUAUUUAUUAGAUUAAAAACCAAUGCCCUCUGGGCUUGCUGGUGAUUCAUGAUAACUGCGCGAAUCGCACGGCCUUGCGCCGGCGAUGGUUCAUUCAAAUCUCUUCCCUAUCAACUUUCGAUGCGAUGAUCUGGUCAUCGCAUGGUUACAACGGGUAACGGAGGGUUAGGGCUUGACCCCGGAGANGGAGCCUGAGAGACGGCUACUACAUCCAAGGAAGGCAGCAGGCGCGCAAAUUACCCAAUCCCGACACGGGGAGGUAGUGACAAUAAAUACUGAUACAGGGCUCUUUUGGGUCUUGUAAUUGGAAUGAGUACAAUUUAAAUCCCUUAACGAGGAACAAUUGGAGGGCAAGUCUGGUGCCAGCGACCGCGGUAAUUCCAGCUCCAAUAGCGUAUAUUAAAGUUGUUGUGGUUAAAAAGCUCGUAGUUGGAACCUUGGCCUGGCUGGCCGGUCCCCCUCACCGGGUGCACUGAUCCGGCCGGGCCUUUCCCUCUACGGAACCCCAUGGCCUUCACUGGCCGUGGCGGGGAAGUAGGACUUUUACUUUGAAAAAAUUAGAGUGCUCCAGGCAGGCCUAUGCUCGAAUACAUUAGCAUGGAAUAAUAGAAUAGGACGCGUGGUUCUAUUUUGUUGGUUUCUAGGACCGCCGUAAUGCUUAAUAGGGACAGUCGGGGGCAUCAGUAUUCAAUUGUCAGAGGUGAAAUUCUUGGAUCUAUUGAAGACUAACUACUGCGAAAGCAUUUGCCAAGGAUGUUUUCAUUGAUCAGGAACGAAAGUUAGGGGAUCGAAAACGAUCAGAUGCCGUUGUAGCUUUAACUAUAAACUAUGCCGACUAGGGAUCGGACGAUGUUAUUACUUGACUCGUUCGGCACCUUUCGAGAAAUCAAAGUGCUUGGGCUC